Molecule: long non-coding RNA, 525 nt
Organism: Lutra lutra (Eurasian river otter)
Lineage: Eukaryota; Metazoa; Chordata; Mammalia; Carnivora; Mustelidae
Exons: 3
Source: RefSeq, a predicted model, not a curated record
GAAGACGCAAAGCGCUCAGCUCCUGCCAUCCUUUCACAGAGGACAUGGGGCCGGGCUGUUCCUCCAGGGAAGCGGACCACCGCUGCCUGGGGAAGUGCAGCAUGGGGGCAGGAGAAUCAUCUAGAGCCUUGCUACUCAAAGUGUGGUUCAGGAACCAAAGCGUAUCAACACCUCUUGGUAUGAAGAUCUCAGCUUCACUUCAGACAAGCUAACUCAGAACCUGCAUUUUAACAAGAGAUCCACCCACCCGUGAUUUGACUGCACUUUAAAGGUUUUUACUUACAGUAUUUUAGCUGCAAGGAUUUUUCUGCUACACUGACCAAGAGAAGAGGGCCUGGGACUGAAUCUGAGAAAUCCAACAUGGAAGAAGGGGAUAGAUGAGGACGAGCUGCCCAGAAAGCUAGGAGAAAACCGGGUGGGCUUGACUCACGGAAGCCCAGAGCAAUGACCUUUUAAGGACAUAAUAUUUGUCAGUUUCUCUUAUCACGCUGACAAGCAUGUAACGAGAGCCCUCCAUAAAGAUUA